This is a long non-coding RNA of Oncorhynchus tshawytscha (Chinook salmon), 453 nucleotides long. Lineage: Eukaryota; Metazoa; Chordata; Actinopteri; Salmoniformes; Salmonidae. The record is from Ensembl.
UGGCUGGUGAUGGGUGGUGAGUGGGUGGUAGGAGGGUGGUGAGUGGGUGGUGAGAGGGUGGUGAAUGGGUGGUGAGUGGGUGGUGAAUAGGUGGUGAGUGGCUGGUGAUGGGUGGUGGGUGGGUGGUGAGUGGGUGGUGAGUGGGUGGUGAGAGGGUGGUGAGUGGCUGGUGAUGGCUGGUGAGUAGGUUGUGAGUGGGUUGUGAUGGGUGGUGAGAGGGUGCUGAUUGGCUGGUGAGUGGCUGGUGAAGGGUGGUGAGUCGGUGGUGAGAGGGUGGUGAGAGGGUUGUGUAGGGUGGUGAGUAGGUUGUGAGUGGGUUGUGAGAGGGUGGUGAUUGGCUGGUGAGUGGCUGGUGAGUGGGUGGUGAGUUGGUGGUGUGUGGCUGGUGAUGGGUGGUGAGAGGGUGGUGAGUCGGUGGUGAGAGGGUGGUGAGUCGGUGGUGUGAGGGUGGUG